RNAcentral lists this long non-coding RNA (340 nucleotides) under Oryza sativa (Asian cultivated rice). RNAcentral describes it as "long non-coding RNA (OSAT_LNC000061)". Lineage: Eukaryota; Viridiplantae; Streptophyta; Magnoliopsida; Poales; Poaceae. The record is from RNAcentral.
AUCAAGUACUACUCUAGCAUACUGCAGAACCUCCUCCUCGUUGGGAGCACCGCUAUACUCUGCAUAGUUUUCUAAUUCUGAAGCAUAUCCCAAAUCUCCGACAUGGUAAAUAAGAAAAAAAAACUUAAUUUCAUGAGAGUAGCAUGAAAUCCUUGAACAGCUAAGUUAAAACAAGGGAGGAACUCAAAGCUUACUGUAUCAGCAUAUAUGACACUGGCACCACCUCCAGCAACCAUUGUCCAGAUGCGCCCCUUUGGGUUCAAAACGGUGAACUUCAGAGAUGCACUUGUCUGAAAGAAUAAGGUCAUUAUAUCACAUUUAGCAAAUAAUUCAAAAAAAC